RNAcentral lists this long non-coding RNA (552 nucleotides) under Setaria italica (foxtail millet). Its description in RNAcentral is "long non-coding RNA (SITA_LNC007331)". The record is from RNAcentral. Lineage: Eukaryota; Viridiplantae; Streptophyta; Magnoliopsida; Poales; Poaceae.
AGAAGCCUACAAGUGGUGGCUAUGGUGGGGGGAGAUAUGAGCAAGAAGAUGAAUACAAGAGGCCUCCAAGUGGUGGCAGCGGUGGUGCCUAUGGUGGAGGGAGGUAUGAAGAAGAUGAGUACAAAAAGAAGCCUAGUGCUGGUGGAUAUGGGGGUGGAAGGUAUGAGGAGGAAGAUGAUUAUAGGAAGAAGCCUAGUGCUGGUGGAUAUGGGGGUGGAGGAAGGUAUGAAGAUGAGUACAGCAAGAAGCCAAGUGGUGGUCAUGGUGGAGGGAGGUAUGAGGAAGAUGAUGGGUACAAGAAGCCUAGUGGUGGUGGAUAUGGCUAUGGGGCUUCAAGUGGUGGGGGUCAUGGAGGAAGGUACGAAGAAGAUGACUACAAGAAGAAGCCUAGUGGGCAUUCAGGGGGAAGAUAUGAAGAAGAGGAGGGGUACAAGAAGACUGGUGGCCAUAGUGGAGGGAAGUAUGGCGAGGAAGAUGACAAGAAGAAGAAGAAACAUGGUGAUGAUGAGUCAGAGGGUGGUGGUAUUGGGGAUUACCUGAAGCUGGCACAGG